GCUGGGGUAGCCAAACCUGGUCAUCCACUUAAAAGACGCACUUCGUGCGUCGGUCGGUUUUGUAUUAUCAACUCGAUGGGUGGGCUGAUCGGCGCUAGCCUGCUAAGCUAGUGGGCGCAAGCCCCUGUGGGUUCAAACGGCCCUUUCUUAAAAGAAAGCGCCGGCGGAAAGAACAUUGUACGUCGGUGAAAGAAUCGGCCUGGAAUUCCCACCCCCAGCG
This 220-nucleotide transfer RNA is filed under the name Candidatus Aenigmatarchaeota archaeon. Its description in RNAcentral is "tRNA-Ser". The record is from RNAcentral. Lineage: Archaea; Nanobdellati; Candidatus Aenigmatarchaeota.